RNAcentral lists this ribosomal RNA (515 nucleotides) under uncultured bacterium. RNAcentral's name for it is "partial 16S ribosomal RNA". It matches the Rfam family "Bacterial small subunit ribosomal RNA", at positions 29 to 523 of the family's 1533-position model. The record is from RNAcentral.
AGCGAACGCUGGCGGCGUGCCUAACACAUGCAAGUCGAACGUGAAAUGGGGCAACCCAAAGUAAAGUGGCGUACGGGUGAGUAACGCGUAGGUAAUCUACCCCAGAAUCUGGAAUAACCUGCCGAAAGGCGGGCUAAUACUGGAUAGAGCGACGGGAUCCGUAAUUGGGUUUUUCGGGAAAGGGAGGGAGCAAUCCCCUUCGUUCUGGGAUGAGCCUGCGUCGCAUUAGCUAGUUGGCGGGGUAACGGCCACCAAGGCAUUGACGAGUAGCUGGUCUGAGAGGAUGAUCAGCCACACUGGAACUGAAACACGGUCCAGACUCCUACGGGAGGCAGCAGUGGGGAAUCUUGCGCAAUGGACGAAAGUCUGACGCAGCCACGCCGCGUGAGUGAAGAAGGCCUUCGGGUUGUAAAGCUCUGUCGGGCGGGACGAACAUCUUGGGAGUGAACAGCUCUUAGGACUGACGGUACCGCCAAAGGAAGCACCGGCUAACUUCGUGCCAGCAGCCGCCGCGG